This 408-nucleotide ribosomal RNA is filed under the name uncultured bacterium. Its description in RNAcentral is "bacterial SSU rRNA". It matches the Rfam family "Bacterial small subunit ribosomal RNA", at positions 775 to 1174 of the family's 1533-position model. The record is from RNAcentral.
AGUCAAUAGAUACCCGGGUAGUCCACGCCGUAAACGAUGAGUACUAGGUGUAGGAGGUAUCGACUCCUUCUGUGCCGCAGUUAAACACAAUAAGUACUCCGCCUGGGAAGUACGGUCGCAAGAUUAAAACUCAAAGGAAUUGACGGGGGCCCGGCACAAGCAGUGGAGCAUGUGGUUUAAUUCGAAGCAACGCGAAGAACCUUACCUAGACUUGACAUCUCCUGAAUAGCGCAGAGAUGCGUGAAGCCCCUUCGGGGUCGAGGAAGACAGGUGGUGCAUGGUUGUCGUCAGCUCGUGUCGUGAGAUGUUGGGUUAAGUCCCGCAACGAGCGCAACCCCUAUUAUUAGUUGCUACCAUUAAGUUGAGCACUCUAAUGAGACUGCCCCGGGGUUUAACCCGGGGUAACGG